AUUGAACGCUGGCGGCAGGCCUAACACAUGCAAGUCGAACGAGUGGCGGACGGGCGAGUAAUGUCGGGGAAACUGCGUGACGGAGGGGGACAACUAGGGGAAACGGUAGCAAACACCGCACAACAUCGUAUGUGCUCAGAUGGGAUUAGCUAGUGGGUGGGGUAAUGGCUCACCGAGGCGACGAUCCCUAGCUGGUCUGAGAGGAUGACCAGCCACACUGGGACUGAGACACGGUCCAGACUCCUACGGGAGGCAGCAGUGGGGAAUAUUGCACAAUGGGCGCAAGCCUGAUGCAGCCAUGCCGCGUGUAUGAAGAAGGCCUUCGGGUUGUAAAGUACUUUCGGCGAGGAGGCGUUACUCGCAGAAGAAGCACCGGCUAACUCCGUGCCAGCAGCCGCGGUAAUUC
Molecule: ribosomal RNA, 406 nt
Filed under: uncultured bacterium
Lineage: Bacteria
Description: partial 16S ribosomal RNA
Rfam family: Bacterial small subunit ribosomal RNA
Source: RNAcentral